This 253-nucleotide ribosomal RNA is filed under the name uncultured bacterium. Its description in RNAcentral is "partial 16S ribosomal RNA". It matches the Rfam family "Bacterial small subunit ribosomal RNA", at positions 524 to 776 of the family's 1533-position model. The record is from RNAcentral.
UACAGAGGGGGCGAGCGUUGUUCGGAAUUACUGGGCGUAAAGGGCGCGUAGGCGGCCCGCUAAGUCGAACGUGAAAUCCCCAGGCUCAACCUGGGAACUGCGUCCGAUACUGGUAGGCUUGAAUCCGGGAGAGGGAUGUGGAAUUCCAGGUGUAGCGGUGAAAUGCGUAGAUAUCUGGAGGAACACCGGUGGCGAAGGCGGCAUCCUGGACCGGUAUUGACGCUGAGGCGCGAAAGCUAGGGGAGCAAACGGG